Molecule: long non-coding RNA, 381 nt
Filed under: Elaeis guineensis (African oil palm)
Lineage: Eukaryota; Viridiplantae; Streptophyta; Magnoliopsida; Arecales; Arecaceae
Description: long non-coding RNA (EGUI_LNC005486)
Source: RNAcentral
UAUAUUUUCUUUUUGUUCGUAUUUUGCCAUCACCAUAUGAUAAUACAUCUACAAUUAAGUGAAUUAAUUCUAUCAAUCAGUGGCUGGCCUACUUUUUAUCCUCUCGUUGAAGCACGAGAAUAAUGGCAAAUACUAAUAAUUAAAUAGGAAUGGUCAAGAUCUGAAAUCUGGUCUAGCCAAGAGGUCAGCUCUAAUGUCGGUUGACGGAGUAUUGUGAGAACGGCACAACACGAGACAAUGGCAUGGAGAUGGAAAACCUACGAAACCUUGGCCAGAGUCCGUCCAGUCAAAACCUUCAAACCUGUUCUUAUAUGGAAAACUUGUGAGACAACGGUACUGUGAGGCGAUACAACGGAGUGGAGAUGGGCGUUUACGGGGUGG